CCAGAUGGCCUAAAUACCCUAAAGGCACCAGAGCCUGUUUGAUCUUGGAAGCUAAGCAGGGUUAGCCCAAUUAGUACUUUGAUUGGAGACAACCAAUUAAUACCAGGUGCUCUAGGCU
RNAcentral lists this ribosomal RNA (118 nucleotides) under Anolis carolinensis (green anole). Lineage: Eukaryota; Metazoa; Chordata; Lepidosauria; Squamata; Anolidae. The record is from RNAcentral.